This is an RNA transcript of Pistacia vera, 1664 nucleotides long. It is a transcript of the gene named zinc finger MYND domain-containing protein 15, with no coding region annotated. Lineage: Eukaryota; Viridiplantae; Streptophyta; Magnoliopsida; Sapindales; Anacardiaceae. The record is from RefSeq and is a predicted model, not a curated record. The transcript has 10 exons.
GAAGAAGAAGAAGAAGAAGUUAAUUACCAAUAAAAUUAAAAUAGAUUAAUUUUUGAAAUAUACAUAUUUAUUAUAAAUUGAGGUUUAGAAAUAACACCCCUCUAUAUUUUUGGGAUUAAAAGAAAAUUGAAAACUGAAGACUGCAAAAACAAUGGAGUGUGCUGGCAAGGGGCGCGGAAAUCGUUGCAUAGGCCCAGCCAGAAGACGCUGCGGUCGCUGUGGAGCUGUUGCUUAUUGUUCCGCCUCUCACCAGCUUUUACAUUGGAGUGAUCAUAAAGACGAGUGUGAAAGGUUAGAAGAACAAAUGAAGCAUGUAGAUGUCUUGAAUGAUUUUCCUUUCACGUUUAGUGAAGAAUCUACAGUUCAGGUGUGUGAAAAGCAGGAGAGCAGGUGUUCAUUCCUGAGCAAAAGGGGCGUUCAUCGAGUAGGAAUGUGGAUGUAUGAAUGUUGCUGCGGUUUAUCCGUUGCUUCAUUUGAUUGUGCAAGGUCAACAGAUGAAGGUUGGAAUCUACCUAGUAUACUGUGCCCAUGUUCAGAGCCUUCAUUUCAAAUAUCAAAGCAUUUAUGUAGUUGGAAGAAUUACUUUGACUGGAGGAGCAUUCCACUACAUUCACCUGUUGCUUUGCUUCUUCACUGGCCGCUUACAAUAUAUUAUGCCACUCAAGUUGCUGGUUUGAGAAGCUUUAAUUCCAAGAUCAGUGAUAAACUGUGCAUCCACUACCUUGGGCCUGAGAAAGAGCUUCUACAACUUUCUGUCUUUGGUGAGUUGCUUGCACUUUUCCCUGGUGUAAAGGUGGAUAUAGAGCUUAUUGGGCCAGAAAUUCCGCAACAUAGGAAUGGUGAGAUGAUCAACCUUUGCAGUUAUGCUCAUUGCGCUGAUACUGAUUGCAUUUGCAAAUCUUCAAGUGAGAACUUCAGUUCGAGCACAGGCAUGAUUAAAUCUUCAGCAGUAACGUUGCGGCUUCACAAAGGAUUUUAUCAUGAUCGUUAUGGAGAUAUAGCAAAGGUGUUUCUUUCUGUGUGCACACUGCACAGAUAUAUACUUAUUUUUCCAUUUGAAGCUUCUCAUCUUGGAUAUGUUUUAGCUGUUCAGUUCUAUUUCUUGUAGUUUAAAAUGACUUCUGUUUGAUGGACAGGAUUCUGUUCCUCAUUUAAUCAUUGCUCCAAAUGCUGGCAUUGCUGCUUAUUCAAGUUGGCUGUCGACUAUUGAGCUAAUAAGGGAGAUAAAUGUUCCUGCAGUGUUUUCUGAUUAUUGUGAAGAAGCUUGUCAUCUUGCAGCUUCUUGCAUAAGCACAAUAACUGGCCAUCCUCCUAAACUUCCUAUUCAAUUAAAUCCAUUUAGGCAGCCGAUGGUGGUGGAAGACAGUGCUCUAUUUCUUCCUUGCUACUCAAAUUGCUUCUUAUUUGGGAUGUGAAGGAAUUUGCUUAGAGACAUGUUUUGAAAUUUUUGCAUUUUUCAAACAUCAUUUGAAACCCUUUAAUGUUAUGAGCAGGUAAUGAUUUCAAUUGAGUUUUCAAGUCCAAGGCUACAUGUUUAUUGAUGGAGUAGUAUGGCAAUUUAAUUUUAGGUGUUCAUGAAGGUUUGAAGCGGUAUCACCAUGUUUUUUUGAUCUAUAAACUAUUUCCACAUCUGAUUGUUGAUGUCUGUAACUGUUAACUGUAAC